RNAcentral lists this ribosomal RNA (385 nucleotides) under uncultured bacterium. RNAcentral's name for it is "bacterial SSU rRNA". It matches the Rfam family "Bacterial small subunit ribosomal RNA", at positions 521 to 896 of the family's 1533-position model. The record is from RNAcentral.
UAAUACAGAGGGUGCAAGCGUUAAUCAGAAUGACUGGGCGUAAAGGGCGUGUAGGUGGUUGACUAGGUUUGAUGUGAAAUCCCCGGGCUUAACCUGGGAAUUGCGUCGAAAACGGGUUGACUGGAGUGAGAUAGAGGGUUGUGGAAUUUCCGGUGUAGCGGUGAAAUGCGUAGAUAUCGGAAAGAACAUCAGUGGCGAAGGCGACAACCUGGAUCUUAACUGACACUGAGGCGCGAAGGCGUGGGGAGCAAACAGGAUUAGAUACCCUGGUAGUCCACGCAGUAAACGAUGAGAACUGGCUGUGAUGUGUAGGGAGCAAUCUCUGCAUGACGUAGCGAAGCUAACGCGUUAAGUUCUCCGCCUGGGGAGUACGGCCGCAAGGUUA